AUUGAACGCUGGCGGCAGGCCUAACACAUGCAAGUCGAGCGGUAGCACAGAGAGCUUGCUCUCGGGUGACGAGCGGCGGACGGGUGAGUAAUGUCUGGGAAACUGCCUGAUGGAGGGGGAUAACUACUGGAAACGGUAGCUAAUACCGCAUAACGUCGCAAGACCAAAGUGGGGGACCUUCGGGCCUCAUGCCAUCAGGUGUGCCCAGAUGGGAUUAGCUAGUAGGUGGGUAACGGCUCACCUAGGCGACGAUCCCUAGCUGGUCUGAGAGGGUGACCAGCCACAUGGGACCGGAGACACGGCCCAGACACAUAGGGGAGGCAGCAGUGGGGAAUAUUGCACAAUGGGCGCAAGCCUGAUGCAGCCAUGCCGCGUGGGUGAAGAAGGCCUUCGGGUUGUAAAGCACUUUCAGCGGGGAGGAAGGGAGUAAAGUUAAUACCUUUGCUCAUUGACGUUACCCGCAGAAGAAGCACCGGCUAACUCCGUGCCAGCAGCCGCCGUAA
This 503-nucleotide ribosomal RNA is filed under the name uncultured bacterium. RNAcentral describes it as "partial 16S ribosomal RNA". It matches the Rfam family "Bacterial small subunit ribosomal RNA", at positions 29 to 523 of the family's 1533-position model. The record is from RNAcentral.